This 396-nucleotide ribosomal RNA is filed under the name uncultured bacterium. Its description in RNAcentral is "partial 16S ribosomal RNA". It matches the Rfam family "Bacterial small subunit ribosomal RNA", at positions 359 to 774 of the family's 1533-position model. The record is from RNAcentral.
GAUAUUGCACAAUGGAUGUAACUCUGAUGCAGCGACGCCGCGUGAACGAUUAAGGUCUUCGGAACGUAAAGUUCUGUCCUAUGGGACGAUAAUGACCGUACCCUAGGAGGCAGCCCUGCCCUACUCCGUGCCAGCAGCCGUGGUAAUACGUAGGGGGCGAGCGUUGUCCGGAUUUAUUGGGCGUAAAGGGUACGCAGGCGGCCAUGUAAGUCAGAUGUGAAAGGUCACGGCUCAACCGUGGUAAGCAUUUGAAACUGUGUAGCUUGAGUUAAGGAGAGGAAAGUGGAAUUCCUGGUGUAGCGGUGAAAUGCGUAGAUAUCAGGAGGAAUAUCAGUGGCGAAGGCGACUUUCUGGACUUAUACUGACGCUGAGGUACGAAAGCGUGGGGAGCAAACA